CUGUCAAGUCGGAUGUGAAAUCCCCGGGCUCAACCUGGGAACUGCAUUCGAAACUGGCAGGCUUGAGUCUUGUAGAGGGGGGUAGAAUUCCAGGUGUAGCGGUGAAAUGCGUAGAGAUCUGGAGGAAUACCGGUGGCGAAGGCGGCCCCCUGGACAAAGACUGACGCUCAGGUGCGAAAGCGUGGGGAGCAAACAGGAUUAGAUACCCUGGUAGUCCACGCCGUAAACGAUGUCUACUUGGAGGUUGUGCCCUUGAGGCGUGGCUUCCGGAGCUAACGCGUUAA
This 284-nucleotide ribosomal RNA is filed under the name Salmonella enterica subsp. enterica serovar Alachua. RNAcentral describes it as "partial 16S ribosomal RNA". It matches the Rfam family "Bacterial small subunit ribosomal RNA", at positions 580 to 863 of the family's 1533-position model. The record is from RNAcentral. Lineage: Bacteria; Pseudomonadati; Pseudomonadota; Gammaproteobacteria; Enterobacterales; Enterobacteriaceae.